This 353-nucleotide ribosomal RNA is filed under the name Dasypops schirchi (Rio Mutum frog). RNAcentral's name for it is "partial 16S ribosomal RNA". It matches the Rfam family "Bacterial large subunit ribosomal RNA", at positions 1994 to 2515 of the family's 2925-position model. Lineage: Eukaryota; Metazoa; Chordata; Amphibia; Anura; Microhylidae. The record is from RNAcentral.
GAAAGGCAUCACGAGGGUCUCACUGUCUCCCUCUUUCAAUCAGUGAAACUGAUCUCCCCGUGAAGAAGCGGGGAUAAAACUAUAAGACGAGAAGACCCCAUGGAGCUUUAAACUCAAUAUUAACUGCCAAAGUACACACCAAGUCAAACAGGCAGAACUAACUAUUAGUUUUCGGUUGGGGUGACCACGGAGCAAAAUAAAACCUCCAUGAUGAAUGACUUACUCUAAUCUAAGAGCCACAGCUCAAAGAAUCAAUAAAUUGACAUAAUUUGAUCCAAAUAUUUUGAUCAACGAACCAAGUUACCCUGGGGAUAACAGCGCAAUCCAUUUCAAGAGCUCCUAUCGACAAAUGG